Molecule: ribosomal RNA, 253 nt
Filed under: uncultured bacterium
Lineage: Bacteria
Description: partial 16S ribosomal RNA
Rfam family: Bacterial small subunit ribosomal RNA
Source: RNAcentral
UACAGAGGGGGCAAGCGUUGUUCGGAAUUACUGGGCGUAAAGGGCGCGUAGGCGGCCUGUUAAGUCGAACGUGAAAUCCCCGGGCUCAACCCGGGAACUGCGUCCGAAACUGGCAGGCUUGAAUCCGGGAGAGGGAUGUGGAAUUCCAGGUGUAGCGGUGAAAUGCGUAGAUAUCUGGAGGAACACCGGUGGCGAAGGCGGCGUCCUGGACCAACACUGACACUGAUGAGCGAAAGCCAGGGGAGCAAACGGG